GCGGGCGUAGCUCAGUGGUAGAGCUCCUGCUUCCCAAGCAGGUGGUCGCCAGUUCGAAUCUGGUCGCCCGCUCCA
RNAcentral lists this transfer RNA (75 nucleotides) under Planctomycetota bacterium. RNAcentral's name for it is "Planctomycetes bacterium (bioreactor metagenome) tRNA-Gly". It matches the Rfam family "tRNA". Rfam says of the family: Transfer RNA (tRNA) molecules are approximately 80 nucleotides in length. Their secondary structure includes four short double-helical elements and three loops (D, anti-codon, and T loops). The record is from RNAcentral. Lineage: Bacteria; Pseudomonadati; Planctomycetota.